Cyprinus carpio carpio is the source of this 857-nucleotide long non-coding RNA. The record is from Ensembl. NCBI's taxonomy places the organism in Eukaryota, Metazoa, Chordata, Actinopteri, Cypriniformes, Cyprinidae.
AUUGUCACGAAGUGACUUUGAGGGCGGAACCAAAAAGUGAGAGGAGAAGUUCCGCCCGGACCGGAAAUAUGCAAACCCUUGUCACUUCCGGAAACUCCGGACGACCCAAAUCAAGGGAAAUCUGCAGCAGGUGUGUCCAAUGAGGUGGCGAUUGCAGACAGGGCAGUUCAUGAGUAUAAAGAGGGCAUCGAGGAUACAGGAAGGUGUGUUGUUUUUGGCCUCCCAAGGAACGCCACGAGUGGGACGGAGUGUUUGGGCGCUGAAGUAGGGCGAAGCAGAUGAGAGUAAUUGUGGAGUCGCUAAGCGAAUUGGAGGAUUUGAAAACGGCCACUGGAACAGGUUUGCCAAAGUGAAGUUUAUGGAAAGAAGUCGUACUCACUUGUGUCUGUUGUACGAAGGUGCCGGAGAGAAAUAGUGACAUUGUGGAACAACGAAGACAUUUCUGGGCGUCUGUACGAAGCUGGGGAGAGAAAGAGAGCGGGAGGAGACAAGUAUUACGAAGACUGUGAGUACAUUGGAUUGCUUGGAUUGUUGUCUUAUAUCUGGAUGAGAAAGAGAGCGGGAGAAGAUCAGUAUCACGAAGACUCUUGUUGAGCGGCCCCAUCGUUGGAGGACGAGACGAGUGGGUGAGCUGAAGUAGAGCGUGGGUGAAUGGAUGUUAUUUGGCUGUGGCCACACCGUAAAGUUUGGAGCACUUACUGUGACAGCGACUGCAAAUUCCUCCAGGACGAAAUCCGACCGGGUGUGGAGUACCGACCUUAAAAAUCACUGAAGUGUGUAGUGCAGUGGGUGAGUCUGUCUUUGACGUGUGUACACUAAAGCUUUGCAGUGCUGUGCCGUGUCCCUGUUGUCUGUAC